AGAAUUUCGAAGAUUUACACGUUCGAUCGGAUUUUUUUAUAGCAAAUGAGGAUAUUUCCUGUACUAGCCGUGCUAGUAAGAGACUGCGUCAAUAACAAAAAAUAAUAUAACGAUGAGGAUCUUAAGGAUGAACAUUCUGGAGUCCUGAAUUGGAUUCCAUCACUAUAGUAUACAUAUAGGACGUGUAUACUUGUAUACAGUUCACUGAUCGACUCACGCGACAUUCGCAGCCUAUUUUCUCGAAAACUAUUAUAGCUAAAAAAAUUGAAUCAUACCUUUUUUGUAGACGAUUUAAUAAACUCUCAUGUUAAUAA
This is a long non-coding RNA of Formica exsecta, 314 nucleotides long. RefSeq lists it as uncharacterized. NCBI's taxonomy places the organism in Eukaryota, Metazoa, Arthropoda, Insecta, Hymenoptera, Formicidae. The record is from RefSeq and is a predicted model, not a curated record. The transcript has 2 exons.